This 257-nucleotide unclassified non-coding RNA is filed under the name uncultured Bacillota bacterium. RNAcentral's name for it is "uncultured Firmicutes bacterium 16S-23S ribosomal RNA intergenic spacer". Lineage: Bacteria; Bacillati; Bacillota. The record is from RNAcentral.
UCUAUGGAGUAAUCGAUAUAGAAAACAAACCGUAUAAGAACUUCGGGGGUUGAGCAUUUAUUUGCUAAAAGUUCUUGUAAGACUACUUAUUAGUCCAUUUUACUUGGUUUUGAGAGAUCAUUUCUCUCAAUUUUGUUCUUUGAAAACUAGAUAAUGUAAAAUUUGAGUAGUCUAAUUUCUGUCCGGAAAUUAGACAUUAAGAUCUCAAACUCAUCAAAUUAGAAUCAAAAAAAAUGUAUCUAUAAGAUACAAUUGGU